UUUUUUUUUGAUUUUUUUUUAUUUCGCUUGGUAGAUGUUAUAGUGUUACUUUAAGCUUUCUUUGAUUUUCUAAAAACAAAA
RNAcentral lists this small RNA (81 nucleotides) under Arabidopsis thaliana (thale cress). Its description in RNAcentral is "ATSL105400". Lineage: Eukaryota; Viridiplantae; Streptophyta; Magnoliopsida; Brassicales; Brassicaceae. The record is from RNAcentral.